Hemicordylus capensis (graceful crag lizard) is the source of this 617-nucleotide long non-coding RNA. RefSeq lists it as uncharacterized. The transcript has 4 exons. The record is from RefSeq and is a predicted model, not a curated record. NCBI's taxonomy places the organism in Eukaryota, Metazoa, Chordata, Lepidosauria, Squamata, Cordylidae.
UGAACUUGGCAUUCCCCUGCAAGCCAGGAAGGAGGCAGGAAGAGUUCUCUGCAGCAGACUCUCUGCCCAGACCAUCCAACACAGCUUUUGCAAGAAAGACUAGAGCCCAUACUUACGAGGGAGCCGAAGCUGAGUGCACUAAGAAGACUGUUCCAGUCACGUAAGCAGGGUGCUGAGGGAUCUGGAUCACGUCGGGGUCACCAGAUGAGGGAACAAACAAGGCGGAAACGGUGUCAAUGCAGGACCUCCUGAACAUCAGAAGGAAACUAGUACAUUUUAAAAGCAACAGGCAACAUAGCCUCUAAGCAUGGGCAGAGUACAUUUCUACUCUUCAAGCCACAGGUUUCCACUUAAUGAUUGAUAUGAGUAAAAUUACGCAAAAAAGUCAAAUUGAAAUUAAAAAGGUUCUAUUUUCAGAACCAGGAAGUAACUCUCCAGAACCUGCCAGGACUGGAGGAGGAGGAGGAGGACGACAACAACAACAACAACAACAACGACUCAGGUGACCAACUAACCUCCUCCCCUGGCUGUUCCUGAGGCUGGCCUUUUCUGUGCUUACCCAGUCAUUCUGGAGUUCAAGAAGGGCCAGGAGCCCACCUCACCGCUGGAGGUUUGAC